AGAGUUUGAUCAUGGCUCAGGACGAACGCUGGCGGCGUGCCUAAUACAUGCAAGUAGAACGCUGAAGUCUGGUGCUUGCACUAGACGGAUGAGUUGCGAACGGGUGAGUAACGCGUAGGUAACCUGCCUCAUAGCGGGGGAUAACUAUUGGAAACGAUAGCUAAUACCGCAUAACAGUAUUAACCGCAUGGUAGAUACUUGAAAGGAGCAAUUGCUUCACUAUGAGAUGGACCUGCGUUGUAUUAGCUAGUUGGUGAGGUAGCGGCUCACCAAGGCAUCGAUACAUAGCCGACCUGAGAGGGUGAUCGGCCACACUGGGACUGAGACACGGCCCAGACUCCUACGGGAGGCAGCAGUAGGGAAUCUUCGGCAAUGGGGGCAACCCUGACCGAGCAACGCCGCGUGAGUGAAGAAGGUUUUCGGAUCGUAAAGCUCUGUUGUAAGAGAAGAACUGUGAGAAGAGUGGAAAGUUUCUCAUUUGACGGUAUCUUACCAGAAAGGGACGGCUAACUACGUGCCAGCAGCCGCGGUAAUACGUAGGUCCCGAGCGUUGUCCGGAUUUAUUGGGCGUAAAGCGAGCGCAGGCGGUUUGAUAAGUCUGAAGUAAAAGGCUGUGGCUUAACCAUAGUACGCUUUGGAAACUGUCAAACUUGAGUGCAGAAGGGGAGAGUGGAAUUCCAUGUGUAGCGGUGAAAUGCGUAGAUAUAUGGAGGAACACCGGUGGCGAAAGCGGCUCUCUGGUCUGUAACUGACGCUGAGGCUCGAAAGCGUGGGGAGCGAACAGGAUUAGAUACCCUGGUAGUCCACGCCGUAAACGAUGAGUGCUAGGUGUUGGGUCCUUUCCGGGACUCAGUGCCGCAGCUAACGCAUUAAGCACUCCGCCUGGGGA
This 889-nucleotide ribosomal RNA is filed under the name uncultured bacterium. Its description in RNAcentral is "bacterial SSU rRNA". It matches the Rfam family "Bacterial small subunit ribosomal RNA", at positions 8 to 879 of the family's 1533-position model. The record is from RNAcentral.